Molecule: ribosomal RNA, 1016 nt
Filed under: uncultured bacterium
Lineage: Bacteria
Description: bacterial SSU rRNA
Rfam family: Bacterial small subunit ribosomal RNA
Source: RNAcentral
AGGAAUAUUGGUCAAUGGACGAGAGUCUGAACCAGCCAAGUAGCGUGAAGGAUGAAGGUCCUACGGAUUGUAAACUUCUUUUAUAAGGGAAUAAAACCUCCCACGUGUGGGAGCUUGUAUGUACCUUAUGAAUAAGCAUCGGCUAACUCCGUGCCAGCAGCCGCGGUAAUACGGAGGAUGCGAGCGUUAUCCGGAUUUAUUGGGUUUAAAGGGAGCGCAGACGGGUCGUUAAGUCAGCUGUGAAAGUUUGGGGCUCAACCUUAAAAUUGCAGUUGAUACUGGCGUCCUUGAGUGCGGUUGAGGUGUGCGGAAUUCGUGGUGUAGCGGUGAAAUGCUUAGAUAUCACGAAGAACUCCGAUUGCGAAGGCAGCACACUAAGCCGUAACUGACGUUCAUGCUCGAAAGUGUGGGUAUCAAACAGGAUUAGAUACCCUGGUAGUCCACACGGUAAACGAUGGAUACUCGCUGUUGGCGAUAUACAGUCAGCGGCUUAGCGAAAGCGUUAAGUAUCCCACCUGGGGAGUACGCCGGCAACGGUGAAACUCAAAGGAAUUGACGGGGGCCCGCACAAGCGGAGGAACAUGUGGUUUAAUUCGAUGAUACGCGAGGAACCUUACCCGGGCUUAAAUUGCAAAGGAAUGAUCUGGAAACAGGUCAGUCUUCGGACCUUUGUGAAGGUGCUGCAUGGUUGUCGUCAGCUCGUGCCGUGAGGUGUCGGCUUAAGUGCCAUAACGAGCGCAACCCUCGCCGCCAGUUACUAACAGGUAAUGCUGAGGACUCUGGCGGGACUGCCAUCGUAAGAUGUGAGGAAGGUGGGGAUGACGUCAAAUCAGCACGGCCCUUACGUCCGGGGCUACACACGUGUUACAAUGGGCGGUACAGAAGGCAGCUACCUGGCGACAGGAUGCCAAUCCCUAAAGCCGCUCUCAGUUCGGACUGGAGUCUGCAACCCGACUCCACGAAGCUGGAUUCGCUAGUAAUCGCGCAUCAGCCACGGCGCGGUGAAUACGUUCCCG